UGACCUUUCUCUGUCACUUCUCCGAGUUUUGAAAAACUCACAAUACUUUAAGGAACAAUACCUAGCCUUUCUGAUGACACAAUGAAUUCCUGUGCAUUCCAAUCUUAGAAUCUGUAGGGCAUGGAGACUGCUCUGUGGCACAACUAGAGAAGGAGAGUAAGAUGUGGGGGACAGUUGGAAGAGUGGUAAAGCAGUAGAGGCAGAAUGCUCAUUUUGGUAAUCAAGGAGCACCAACAGCUGGUUCCUGUUGAAUGCCAUCAGGAUGAUUCAGCCACCCACCAGGAACACCAGUAACAGCAAGUGCACGCACAGAAAUCUGCAAAACUUUCUUCUUUUGAUGCCAACACUAUUACUCUGGCAAAGUCAAAACCCUUUAUGGAUUUACCAGUUCAACUAAAUGUGACCUUGUUCCCCUCACAAAUACCAGCUCACUCUCAAAUAAACACAACUUCUGGCUGAUUAAAAUGCAACGUUCUUCCACAGUUGAGUGCACCCUGCAGUGAGUCCCUCCUCUGUGCUGUGUCUACAUUCUCUCCCUUUUUCAUUUUUUCACUGUUCAAUGAAACUUCAAAGGAUGAAUGAGAUCCAUAUACACUCAGAGUCCACCUUGUAUGUUGUCCUGCUUACUGCUGACCACAUGCAUUUAAAGUUAUGCCUCAAGUUGUUUUAUUGUUUCUAUUUUUAAGAAGUUUUCCAUUUCCACAGAAUGUGGUAAUAUGCCUUGAAAAACAGAAAUGUGUAGAUAAACUGUGCUGACCACAGACUUCAUUAAUACAUGAUUUCCAUGCCAUACUCUAGCCAGUUAAAAAUUCUAUACCUUCCUCCUUCAAAUCUAGACCAGAUUACAGACUUAAAGGAAGAAAAUGCCAAAGAUGACAGCUAGCUAUCAAAAAUGUUCUAGUGCCUCAUUUUCAGGUCUCCAAAGUAAAAUCUAAGGGCAUUCGACAAAGAUUCAGGUGCUCUCAAUAGCCAUGAAAAUAUAUGGCUGAAGAGGGAAUCUGUAAAUGUAAUGAAUACACAAUUGGCUUAUAACAGAUGCAACCAAAAUUAAAUUCAAGAUCUUGACCUACUCUUCAAAGUGAAAGUUUUUAGUUCAUGCUACAGAGAG
This 1108-nucleotide long non-coding RNA is filed under the name Heterocephalus glaber (naked mole-rat). RNAcentral's name for it is "lncRNA (ENSHGLG00000050702.1)". The record is from RNAcentral. Lineage: Eukaryota; Metazoa; Chordata; Mammalia; Rodentia; Bathyergidae.